GGAGGGGGAAAAAAUAUAACAAAAUCAAUAAAUUCCUGCACCUCAGAAAAUUGUAUCUUCAGUGGAUGCUUACAAACCUUGUUGCACGUAGCAUAAUUGGAAGAAAGAUUUUUAAACAGUUAUGCAGUUACAACCACCUCUUCCAUCCCUCCUUGAAGAACUCGUGAGUGAUUACUGGCAGCACCUUCCAAUCCACCUGGUUGAAGUAUAAGGGCUGCGUGCCAUGAAGGAGCUAAAAGGCUCUGCAAAAUUCGUACACAUAGAGGAAGGACAUUACUCUCAGAUAAGAGAAAAAGAAGAAAAGCAAGAAAAAAUUGAAAACUUCAGUGAAAACCUUAGUCUGGAUGAACAAGGAACUCGGUUUUACCUCCAAAAAGGUUAAGGUCACCAGACUAGCCUUCCUACUUUCUUACUGCAGGGACAAAAGAAUACACCACAAAGCAAGUAGUGCACGUAGCACAAUUGGCAGCUGGCUUGAAAAUGCUUGGGUUCAAUUGACUAUGAAGAAUGAAUUACCCUUAUGUUUGAACAAAAAAA
Oxyura jamaicensis (ruddy duck) is the source of this 537-nucleotide long non-coding RNA. RefSeq lists it as uncharacterized. The transcript is spliced from 2 exons. The record is from RefSeq and is a predicted model, not a curated record. Lineage: Eukaryota; Metazoa; Chordata; Aves; Anseriformes; Anatidae.